CUGAACAAGAACAAACAUGAACCAGAGUUUUGACAAACUCAACUUGUGGUAUGUUGGCUUGUUAGGCCCUGUUAGUGAGUUUUCAUGUCUCCAAUGCAUCUAUUUCAUGAAAUUAUAGGUGCUAAACUGCUAAUGAACUAAACUAGCAAUUGAGACAUAGCUGCUGCCCUUAUCCACAUGGUAGAUAUAAAAUAACAGUACUGUUGGUGUAAGAUAUUAAAGUUGAGAUAGAGAGGGUUGAUGAUUCACAUUCAGAGUUGCAGCGUAUGGAAUGAGUAUAUAGAUCAAAAGUUAAGUGAAGAAGAUGAAGAAACAUAAUUUGGAAAAAGGUGCUGGAAGAAGAUCGAGUAAUAAAUUAAAGUUGUUGUUUCUAAAGACUCGGAAGAAGAAAAGGAAGAAGAAAAAACAGACUGUUUAUUUAGAUGAUUACGGUAUGAGUGGAAUCGGAAAAGUUAAUAAUCGGAUCAAGAGCGUUUCGAGUGAAGGUAUCUUUAAAUCAAGUUGGGAUCUCCUUAUAAGUCUCACUUUCUGGAACAAGCUCUGGAAGAGGAUGAUCUGAUACUGGUGCAAAGAAUUUUGCAAGACCAAAAUCCAGGCAGGAACGGCAGGUCGAUUGGAAACGAGUGUAUGACAAGCUUUUGGAGCAAAACAAUUCCAAAAACUAGGAGUGCAACAAUCCUCUAACCUUAGUUUGCAUCCCGAUCUCUCAUAUGUGGGCUUCAAUAGGAAAACUGCUUAGUUUCACAGGUCAAGACACUUUAAUCUCACUUGAAAUGGGCAAAUAUGCGACAUGCUUGAUCCUUGGUUGUGCAACAAUCCCUCUAACCUUGUUUGCAUCCCGAUCUCUCUUAUGUGACCUUCUGUCAAGACCCUUUAAUCUCACUUGAAACGGGAAAAUAUGCGGCAUGCUUGAUCCUUGCAUUAUUCGCUUAUGCAGCUCUCCAGUGGGUAAAUCAACUAAUAGAUGGAACUAUCAACUAGCAGGAAUGUACAUGAGAGUGCUAGUAAUGGUUGGAGAAGAGAACUAGUGUAACUGGUGGUCCUAUUUUUCGGAACUUACUUUUAUCAUUUUCAUAUGGGUUUUACCCAAGAACGGGAAGAUAAUCUCGCUUGCUGGCCUGAAGGAUUUGUAGAUGAACGCUAUAAAAACGCUACCUUGUCUAUUGCCUGUGCAAUAUAUGAGAACUGGAAGCUAAAUGGAAAAGACAUCACUAUACACCCCACGAUACAAAUGAAAUGCCCCAGCAGAUAAACCCAGUAAGUUAACCGACGAAGAGUGGAAGAAUUCCGUGAAAUUUUCAGACCACAUAAAGAGCAUCAGUCAUAUCAAGAGCAGAAGCCAUCAGAAAGCCAAACACACAAUGGGAGGAAAAACUCUUGUCACUGCAAACCUGAAAUGGGAUGCAAAGUUACAAUAUCAGGAUUGACAAGAGUUGUUGUACUCUUGGACACGAUAAAAGAUGAGAACGGCUCCAAUUGUGGGAUGUUCGAAGUUCAUCCGCCUUUUGAUUAGCAAGAUGUUAGGGUACCGACCCUAAACUCGUCAUAAGCCCAUGGAUAGAACUCAACUCGAAAACCGGUUGAUUAGACGAGGGAACUCAUUGACUUAUAAACUACUAAUUAAGCCCCAUCUAACCAAUAUGGGAUUAGUAUCCCAACAAUUUGUCUUCAUCUUAUUGUUUCGUUUUGAUUUUGGUAUCAAAAUGCAUCUCAAAAAGCUGUUCCAUGAUUCAUUUUGCUCCAUUAUUGUGAUUGUACUCUGCCAACCAUAAACAUCAUCCUCACUUGCCCCUGGUCCAAUGAGCUAAGCCAGCAAUAGGUUGCCUUUAUCCACUAGGUAGGUACAUGGUAAGUAUAAAUGUGAGAUCCCUAUAAAAGAAAGGGAAAGUAUCAAUUGGGAGACAUAAUUUUUUCAGCCAUCAAAUGAUUCAAAUCGGGAACCGGAAGACCUAAAACAAAUCCUACAUCUAACGAAGGAAAUGAUGAGUAGAUAGAUGAGAUCAAUUGAGUUACUGGUUGAUGAUGAAGAAACAUAAUCAAAGAUAUGGAAGAAGAAGAAGAAGGUGUUGGAAGAAUUUUUUUGAGAUACAAAUCAAAGUUGUUUGGGUUUUUAAAGAUUCAGAAGACCAAAAAGAAGAAGAAACAAAAUGGUUUAUUAUGUACUCAUUUUGGUAUUUGCGGAUUCGGAAAACUUAACGUGCUAUUAUAGACACUAAUCUGAACGGUAUUGGGUCCAAUGUUGACUGCUAUGAUUAUUUCAGAAAUCAAUAUCCCGGGAUUUUGAUGCAUCUGUACACUUGCCUGGAAUUGCACUACUGGGAUUGGGCAAGCAUCGAUGAUUCAUUUCACGCCCACAUUAGGCCUUGUGUGUGUUCAGCUUAUCAUGGUGUUAAUUAGAUAUGCAUGAAUCUGAAGUUUCAAGCAUUUGUUGUGGUAAUAGCUGUAUCACAGGAAAGUGGACACCCUCUGCAAAAAAUGGUUAAAAAUUUAUCCAUCAUUAGUGGCAGGAACAAGAACAAGCUCAUCUGGUCAAAAUGAGGUGGAAUUUCAUAACUAGGUUCAAGAAAGCUGGGUCAAAACCAUGUUUCAUUCCUUCUUUGAUGCCGUCACAGCUCACUAGCUUUGGAAAAAUUGGGUUAAAACGAGGUACCUUCCAACCGCAAUAUCAAGAGUAGAAGCCACCAGAAAGCAAAACGCUCAGUAGUUAAGAAAAACUUCCUUCGCUAAGAAGCUGAAAAGUUGCAGCUCUGAUUGUGGCACCCGCCUUUGAAUAAGGAUGGUUCCAAUGAUUGUAAAAUUCCGGUCCAUGUUGUCAAACAAUGGAACAAGAAAGGCUUCCGAAGAUGGGUUUGUCAGUCUUGCCUCGUUGUUCAAAUUCUGACUCGUGGCAUAGCCAGUCCAUAGAGGGUUAUUAGGCCUUGCGAGUCAGUUAUCAUGUAUACAAUGUCUAAAUUUAAGCUUUGGUACUCAGAAUUUGUACGUCAUGUAGUAUUAGUUGUGAAAUGAACAAUUUAGUGAACAUCGAUCUUGCUAGCAAAAGUUAC
Papaver somniferum (opium poppy) is the source of this 3044-nucleotide long non-coding RNA. RefSeq lists it as uncharacterized. NCBI's taxonomy places the organism in Eukaryota, Viridiplantae, Streptophyta, Magnoliopsida, Ranunculales, Papaveraceae. The record is from RefSeq and is a predicted model, not a curated record. The transcript has 11 exons.